UUGAAGGCGCACGGUGGAUGCCUGGGCAUCAGGAGCCGAUGAAGGACGUGGGAGGCCGCGAUAGUCCUCGGGGAGCUGUCAACCGAGCUGUGAUCCGAGGGUGUCCGAAUGGGGAAACCCAGCCCGAGUGAUGUCGGGUUACCGCUGUUUGAAUGUAUAGGGCAGCGGGGGGAACGUGGGGAACUGAAACAUCUCAGUACCUACAGGAAGAGGAAGCAAUAGCGAUUCCCGGAGUAGUGGCGAGCGAAACGGGAGGAGACUAAACCGGAUGCGUGUGAAAGCCGGCGGGCGUUGCGUGUUCGGGGUUGUGGGAGCGUCUAGCUGGGUCUGCCGGCCUGGCGGGGAUGUGUGCAUGGCUAGCUGAACGUGUUGGAAGGCGCGAGCGGAGCGGGUGAUACUCCCGUAGGCGAAAGUUGUGCAUCGUUUCGGGCGUGUUCCCGAGUAGCGCGGUACCCGUGGAAUUCCGCGUGAAUCAGCCAGGACCACCUGGUAAGUCGAAAUACUCCCUGGUGACCGAUAGUGCAGAGUACCGUGAGGGAAUGGUGAAAAGUACCCCGGGAGGGGAGUGAAAGAGUUCCUGAAACCGUGCGCCAACAAACCGUCAGAGCCUUCGGGUGAUGGCGUGCCUUUUGAAGAAUGAGCCUGCGAGUUAGUCGUGUGUGGCAGGUUAACCCGUUGUGGGGGAGCCGGAGCGAAAGCGAGUCUGUGAGGGCGUCGAGUGUCGCAUGCGCUAUACCCGAAACCGAGUGAGCUACCCAUGGCCAGGGUGAAGCGCGGGUAAGACCGUGUGGAGGCCCGAACCCACCAGGGUUGAAAACCUGGGGGAUGAGCUGUGGGUAGGGGUGAAAGGCCAAUCAAACUCGGAAAUAGCUGGUUCUCCCCGAAAUGCAUUUAGGUGCAGCGUCGUGUGGUUCCUGGGUGGGGUAGAGCACUGGAUGGCUGAUGGGCCUGUGUGGUUACUGAAGUCAGCCAAACUCCGAAUACGCCUGGGUGGAGCGCGGCAGUGAGUCUGUGAGGGAAAAGCUUCAUGGUCGAGAGGGAAACAGCCCAGAUCGCCGGCUAAGGCCCCGAAGUGUACGUUCAGUGGGAAAGGAUGUGGGACCGCAGAGACAACCAAGAGGUUGGCUUAGAAGCAGCCAUCCUUGAAAGAGUGCGUAAUAGCUCACUGGUCGAGUGGUCCCGCGCCGAUAAUGUAGCGGGUCUAAGCGUACCGCCGAAGCCGCGGCGCCACGUCUGUUGACGUGGUGGGUAGGGGAGCAUCGCGUGUGUGUUGAAGCGGUGGUGUGAACUGUCGUGGAGUGCGCGCGAGAGAGAAUGCAGGCAUGAGUAGUGAAAGAGGAGUGAGAAUCUCCUCCGCCGGAUGACCAAGGGUUCCAGGGGCAGGUUUGUCCGCCCUGGGUGAGUCGGGACCUAAGGCGAGGCCGACAGGCGUAGUCGAUGGAGAACGGGUUGAUAUUCCCGUACCCGUGUGGACGCGUCCCGGAUGAGGCGGUUUCUGCUAACCACUCUGCGCGUGCCCAUGAUCCUUGUGGUUGUGGGUGGUGUGUGGCGUGGGGUCCGUUUCCGUAGUAGUUCAGUGAUGGGGUGACGCAGGAGGGUAGCCCAGCCCGGGCGUUGGUUGUCCCGGGGUAAAGGUGUAGGGCUGGUGUGUAGGCAAAUCCGUGCACCGUGUGAGCCUGAGACCUGAUGCCGAGCCUUUGUGGUGAAGUGGGUGAUCCCAUGCUGCCGGGAAAAGCCUCUAGCGAGUGUCCGCAUGGCCCGUACCCGAAACCGACACAGGUGGUCAGGUAGAGAAUACCGAGGCGAGCGGGUGAACCGUGGUUAAGGAAUUCGGCAAAUUGUCCCCGUAACUUCGGGAGAAGGGGAGCCCGCUGGCGUGUACACCCUGGCGGUGGAAGCGUUGGUGGGCCGCAGAGGAUAGGCCUGAGCGACUGUUUACUAAAAACACAGGUCCGUGCGAAGUUGUAAGACGAGGUAUACGGACUGACGCCUGCCCGGUGCCGGAACGUUACGGGGAGGGGUUAGCGACUCUUGUGGUUGCGAAGCUCCGAACCUAAGCGCCGGUAAACGGCGGUGGUAACUAUGACCAUCCUAAGGUAGCGAAAUUCCUUGUCGGGUAAGUUCCGACCUGCACGAAUGGCGUCACGACUCGGGCGCUGUCUCGACCACGGACCCGACGAAAUUGCAGUACGAGUAAAGAUGCUCGUUACGCGCGGCAGGACGGAAAGACCCCGGGACCUUUACUAUAGCUUGGCAUUGGUGUUCGGUGCGGUGUGUGUAGGAUAGGUGGGAGACUGGGAUGUGGUCACGCUAGUGGCCGUGGAGUCGUUGUUGAAAUACCACUCUCAUCGUUCUGGGCAUCUAAUUUCGGCCCGUGAUCCGGGUCAGAGACAGUGCCUGGUGGGUAGUUUAACUGGGGCGGUUGCCUCCUAAAGGGUAACGGAGGCGUCCAAAGGUUCCCUCAGCCUGGUUGGUGAUCAGGUGUCGAGUGCAAGGGCACAAGGGAGCUUCACCGCGAGACUGACGGGUCGAGCGGAUGCGAAAGCAGGGCCUAGUGAUCCGGCACUAGCUGGUGGAAGCGGUGUCGCUCAACGGAUAAAAGGUACCCCGGGGAUAACAGGCUAAUCUUGCCCAAGAGUUCAUAUCGACGGCACGGUUUGGCACCUCGAUGUCGGCUCGUCGCAUCCUGGGGCUGGAGUGGGUCCCAAGGGUUGGGCUGUUCGCCCAUUAAAGCGGCACGCGAGCUGGGUUUAGAACGUCGUGAGACAGUUCG
Molecule: ribosomal RNA, 2773 nt
Filed under: museum specimen metagenome
Description: bacterial LSU rRNA
Rfam family: Bacterial large subunit ribosomal RNA
Source: RNAcentral